Long non-coding RNA from Pyrus x bretschneideri (Chinese white pear), 619 nucleotides. RefSeq lists it as uncharacterized. The record is from RefSeq and is a predicted model, not a curated record. Lineage: Eukaryota; Viridiplantae; Streptophyta; Magnoliopsida; Rosales; Rosaceae. The transcript is spliced from 3 exons.
CGAGGAGUUUCUCCUCUCUUCCCCGUUCAGUCUGCUCCUUCCCCCGUUUCUUCUUCCACGCCAUUUUUUUCACCCUAGUUUUUUUCACGUUAGUGUGGACUACCACAAUCUCAAUCAGAUUAGGGGCAAAAGAAAGAGAAUGGCUGUGGGGGCAGAGGUGGUGGAGAACUUACUCGAAUGAUCUUCCAUUUUUUUCCUUGAUGAGGUGAUGUCUCUGCUCUGUGAAUAGCUCUGGUGUGAGUCUGAUCAGAAGAAGAACCAGGGAAAUCGGAAAAGAAGCCAAGGAAAUCGAAAACCCGAAACAGAUAUAUUCAGAAGAAGAACCACAGAAGAAAGUUGAAAUGAGGAGGAGAAGAUAGAAGAAGAGUGAGAGCAAGAGCUUGAAGGGCCUUCAGUUUGAAGAGUUAAAAGGGUUUAUGGAUCUUGGUUUUGUUUUCUUAGAGGAAGAUAAAGAUUCAAACUUGGUUUCAAUCAUUGCCAAGUUCAGAGCUGAUGAGAUGGCCAAGGCGAAUGAGUUCAUAUACAAGGAAGCAACGGCAGAGAGAUUGGGAAGCUGCUUGGCUUUCUCUCAUUGAGGUGGAAAAAAAAAUGUGGUGAUUGAUGACAAGUUUAGCACCGA